AUUUUCUUAGUAUAUUUAAGUACUUUUAAUUUCCAAUUAAAAAGACUACUUCGUAGAGAAAAUA
This 64-nucleotide transfer RNA is filed under the name Metallyticus sp. Its description in RNAcentral is "tRNA-Gly". Lineage: Eukaryota; Metazoa; Arthropoda; Insecta; Mantodea; Metallyticidae. The record is from RNAcentral.